Melitaea cinxia (Glanville fritillary) is the source of this 314-nucleotide long non-coding RNA. RefSeq lists it as uncharacterized. NCBI's taxonomy places the organism in Eukaryota, Metazoa, Arthropoda, Insecta, Lepidoptera, Nymphalidae. The transcript has 2 exons. The record is from RefSeq and is a predicted model, not a curated record.
AACAAUUACAUACUUAAUGUACUUUUUUUUAUUCAAUAACUUGGUAUUUAAUAUAAUAUUUUUGUUUAUGAAUAUUCCAUAUCUUAUAAAUUCUAACAUUAUGUCUCAUCACUACUGUCGGAUAAAUACGACAUAGGCGUUGGAAGUCAAUACACUUUCUCCGGGAUAAUAUUAGUAAAUUUACCUUAAUUGAAAUAGUAUUUUAUUUUGUUUCUUGAUAUAGUAAAUCUGAAUUGUAACACUAAUUAAAAGGUUGAAUUGAUAAACUUUCGAGAAAAAAAUGAUUGAACUUUUAAACAAAAAAAAAAAAAAUU